GGGGCUGUAGCUCAGUUGGGAGAGUACGUGACUGGCAGUCACGGGGUCGCCGGUUCGAGCCCGGUCAGCUCCACUA
RNAcentral lists this transfer RNA (76 nucleotides) under Candidatus Aminicenantota bacterium. RNAcentral describes it as "Candidatus Aminicenantes bacterium (hot springs metagenome) tRNA-Ala". It matches the Rfam family "tRNA". From Rfam's summary of the family: Transfer RNA (tRNA) molecules are approximately 80 nucleotides in length. Their secondary structure includes four short double-helical elements and three loops (D, anti-codon, and T loops). Further hydrogen bonds mediate the characteristic L-shaped molecular structure. tRNAs have two regions of fundamental functional importance: the anti-codon, which is responsible for specific mRNA codon recognition, and the 3' end, to which the tRNAs corresponding amino acid is attached (by aminoacyl-tRNA synthetases). tRNAs cope with the degeneracy of the genetic code in two manners: having more than one tRNA (with a specific anti-codon) for a particular amino acid; and 'wobble' base-pairing, i.e. permitting non-standard base-pairing at the 3rd anti-codon position. The record is from RNAcentral. Lineage: Bacteria; Candidatus Aminicenantota.